This is a long non-coding RNA of Hypanus sabinus (Atlantic stingray), 1545 nucleotides long. RefSeq lists it as uncharacterized. The transcript has 3 exons. The record is from RefSeq and is a predicted model, not a curated record. NCBI's taxonomy places the organism in Eukaryota, Metazoa, Chordata, Chondrichthyes, Myliobatiformes, Dasyatidae.
UCCGGAGUCCUGUUGGGGUUGGUACAAAGGACUGAACCUGCUAUUGGGAAUUGCUCUCAGGCAGUAAAGGGGAGAGAUGGCCGGAAGCGACGGAGAAGACAAAGGUAGCGAACAGGAAGUGGUAUUCAAUGAAAUGUGGAGGAAGUAGAUGUGCAGCAGAGGGCAUAGUUUGUUUGCAAAUCAUCGUAGUGUCACAGAGAUGGGCCCAAGUCAUCCAUGCCUUCUUCCGGAGUAUUACAAACAUGAAUAUUACAAGACCCACUUGCACCUACCACUUCCAUCAUUCAAGUUUCAAGUUCAUGGGUGUCAACAUCUCUGAAGAUCUAUCCUGGGCCCAAUGUAUUGAUGCAAUUACAAAGAUGGCACGACAACAACUAUUUUUCAUGAGGAGUAUGAGGAGGUUUAGUACAUCACCAAAGACUUCAGCAAAUUUCUGCAGAUGGAAAAUAUUCUAACUGGUUGCAUCACUAUCUGAUAUGAAGGGGCCACUGCAUAGGAUCAGAAAAAGCUGCAGAGUUUGAAAACUCAGCCAGCUCCAUCAUGAGCACUAGCCUCCCCAGUAUUGAGGACAUCUUCAAAGAGGCAUGAAUGGGUCAAAGGUAGAGUUCUAUUUUGUAACUGCCCUAAUGCAUUUUUAUGGAUACUGUAUGUCAUUCAUUCUCAGAUGACAUAUAUCCCUUGUAUUUCACCAUUGAUCCUCUAUGUAAAACACUAAUCUUGUAAGCCACCGUUUAUGGCAACAAAAGCUGGCAUUGUGAUAACAUGUUUUUCCAACCAUGACAAUAGACUUGGAAAUUUUUUCUUGAGCUUGUAACUCCAGAUGAACAUUUGGUGAUUUUUUCUUCACCAGUUCUAUCUUUUACAUUUCCUUAAUUUUAAUAGCUUCAUCUUUGAAGGUUGUGUUUUCAUCCAGAUGCAAGAAUUUCUUCCUUAAACCACUCUAGCUCCCUCACAUCUAAUGUUUUCCUCAAAAUCCUUCUUCUUUAAUAAAGCCUUUGGAUAAUUGGCCUGAUAUUUUGUUUCUUUGUGUUUUGGGUAUUAAUUUCCUUAUAGACAACUCUAUAAGUGAUUCCAUGUAGAGAGCUGUGGAUGCAGCUCAACACGUUAUGGGAAUUAGCUUAUUCUCUAUGGAAUCUGUCUAUACUUCUCUAUACCUUGGUAAAACAGCCAGUAUAAUCAAAGACCCCAUCCACCAUGAAUAUUUUGUCUUUUCCCCCCUCCCAUUGGGCAGAAAAGACAAAAGACUGAAAGCAUGUACCACUAAGCUCAGAAUGUCCUCCAAAAUUCUGUGUGUGCAGCAUCUAUCUCACUGAUAUAAAACUAUUGAAUGGAUCCUUAGAAUAAUAAGAUGGACCCCUGACCUUUAGAUCUGAACCAUUCUGACCUUGCACCUUAUUGUCUACCUGCAUUGCACUUUCUCUUACUGUAACAUUUUACUCUGCACUCUUUUAUUGUUUAACCCUGUACUGCCUCAAUGCACUGUUGUUAUGAAUUGAUCUGUAUGAACAGUAUGCAAGACAAAGUUUUCACUGUAUGUAAAUUUAU